RNAcentral lists this ribosomal RNA (50 nucleotides) under Zygopetalinae sp. 7 SRR-2011. RNAcentral's name for it is "partial 26S ribosomal RNA". Lineage: Eukaryota; Viridiplantae; Streptophyta; Magnoliopsida; Asparagales; Orchidaceae. The record is from RNAcentral.
GCGACCCCAGGACGGGCGAGGCCACCCGACGAGUUUAAGCAUAUCAAUAA